GGUUGUGUAGCGCAAUGGUAGCGCGCUUGCUUUUGUAGCGGGAAAUCCUGGGUUUAACUCCCGGUGCAACCU
Molecule: transfer RNA, 72 nt
Organism: Gaeumannomyces graminis
Lineage: Eukaryota; Fungi; Ascomycota; Sordariomycetes; Magnaporthales; Magnaporthaceae
Rfam family: tRNA
About the family: Transfer RNA (tRNA) molecules are approximately 80 nucleotides in length. Their secondary structure includes four short double-helical elements and three loops (D, anti-codon, and T loops). Further hydrogen bonds mediate the characteristic L-shaped molecular structure. tRNAs have two regions of fundamental functional importance: the anti-codon, which is responsible for specific mRNA codon recognition, and the 3' end, to which the tRNAs corresponding amino acid is attached (by aminoacyl-tRNA synthetases). tRNAs cope with the degeneracy of the genetic code in two manners: having more than one tRNA (with a specific anti-codon) for a particular amino acid; and 'wobble' base-pairing, i.e. permitting non-standard base-pairing at the 3rd anti-codon position.
Source: Rfam